RNAcentral lists this ribosomal RNA (253 nucleotides) under uncultured bacterium. RNAcentral's name for it is "partial 16S ribosomal RNA". It matches the Rfam family "Bacterial small subunit ribosomal RNA", at positions 524 to 776 of the family's 1533-position model. The record is from RNAcentral.
UACGAAGGGUGCAACCGUUGCUCGGAAUUAUUGGGCGUAAAGCGCACGUAGGCGGCUUUUCAAGUCGGAUGUGAAAUCCCUCGGCUUAACCAAGGAAGUGCAUCCGAAACUGGAAGGCUUGAGUACUUAAGAGGAUCGCGGAAUUCCCGGUGUAGAGGUGAAAUUCGUAGAGAUCGGGAGGAACACCAGCGGCGAAGGCGGCGAACUGGAUAGGCACUGACACUCAACAACGAAAGCGUGGGGAGCAAACAGG